CAUGUUUGCAUCUAUCACUCAUAACUAACUGUCGAGUUUAACAUUUUUAUUUUUACAGCAUCAAAGUAAUUCUUGGUAUCUUUUUUCUAAUCUAAAGUGUGUCUGCAGGUGUUGGUUUGUGCCCACUUACAUCCUGAAAACUAACAGCUGGUCCAGGAGGUCCGGGAGGCCCCGGUGGCCCUGAUAGACUGAGUCCAUCGGCCCCUGGAUCGCCCUGCAGGACGCAUUCAAAAAUACUCCACUCUCCUUGCAGACCUGGAGUCCCGUCUCUUCCUGGAGGACCCUGGGCAACCAAUCAGAGGCAGACAGCAGAAGAAAGAAGGAACUGUCAGAAAAAACCCACAAUGAAUCUAUUCCUUUAAGAGAGACCAACAUUCAAUUCAAACCAAAGGGCAGCACUGUUUCUGUGACAGCAAGAGGAGGAACGGGGAAAUCGAUGCCAACUCGAUAAAUCUAUGAUGAACAACAAUAAAACAAAUUUUGAAAGAUCCAGGACUUCUCUUUGUAUUUCAAUUACUGGUUUGACCAACACAAAAACACAUUUUAGUUGAUAUAACCAGUAACUUACUUAGUUAAAUAUGUAGUACAAAAUAGUACAAGAAUGACUAUUCUUCAUUAAAUCAAGUUAUGCUGCCAUAUGAACAUAUCAGAGUUUUUUUUUCUGUAUUUUGAAUGUGAUAAUAUUUGGAUUUUCUUUUCAAGCAAUUAAAACAAAAAUAAAACUGAAGAAUAAAAAACAAACAAAAAUAUACCAAUAU
Molecule: long non-coding RNA, 758 nt
Organism: Oryzias melastigma (Indian medaka)
Lineage: Eukaryota; Metazoa; Chordata; Actinopteri; Beloniformes; Adrianichthyidae
Exons: 3
Source: RefSeq, a predicted model, not a curated record